GUCCCAGGUCCCUGGGGAGGCGGCGGGCCCCUCCUCUCGGCCCUUCCAGACCCCCAUCCAGCAGCGCUUGUACCCCGAGAUGGUGAGAGCCCUGUAUCUGUCUGUCUCCCUUCAGGACAGUGAGCUGAUCAAGGGGAGCCCUGUGUCCUCACCCUAGUGCUCCCGGCACUGCACUGACAAGCUGUACCUGCUAGAUUGAAACUGGGCUUCAACUACCUCCAUUUUGACCUCAAACUCGCUAAUUGAUUAAAUUCUUCCUUUUAGUUUCCCUCUUCACUCAGGCAGAAAACCCUGCAGGCAAGCGUCCCGUGAUGGAAACAAACCACCCCCUCAAGCAACAAGAACUGCCCUGAGCCAGCAAGACCAGGGUGACUGACUGCAAGACAGUGAGCGAUUUGACCUUCGCUGCCCACUUGUGGCCCAAGUCGUGAUCUCCUGUUCAUCAGAUCGAGCCCCACUGCCAGCUCUGUGCUAACAGCGUGGAGGCCGCUUGGGAUUCUCUCUCUGCCCCUCCCGCACUCCCUCUGUCUCAAAACAAAUAAACUUCUAAAAAAUGUUUAAAAGAACAAAAGCAAACAAAAAGCAAAACAACAUAAGACCUGGAAGGUAUUUUCAGUCCUUUGGAGACAGUCUUUGAGAGGGUCCACUGUCUUCCCGGUGGUGGCCUCCCUGGAAUAAAUCCCAUUCUUGUUU
Panthera uncia (snow leopard) is the source of this 693-nucleotide long non-coding RNA. RefSeq lists it as uncharacterized. NCBI's taxonomy places the organism in Eukaryota, Metazoa, Chordata, Mammalia, Carnivora, Felidae. The record is from RefSeq and is a predicted model, not a curated record. The transcript has 2 exons.